Molecule: long non-coding RNA, 489 nt
Filed under: Salmo trutta (river trout)
Lineage: Eukaryota; Metazoa; Chordata; Actinopteri; Salmoniformes; Salmonidae
Description: lncRNA (ENSSTUG00000032756.1)
Source: RNAcentral
GAAUGUAAUGGGACAGAGAGAUGCCGUAAUAACAUGUUUUGUUUCCAUGGUGAAAAUGAACAGGUUAUUGAUGUGAAUGUAAUGGGACAGAGGGAUGCCGUAGUAACAUGUUUUGUUUCCAUGGUGAAUAUGAACAGGUUAUUGAUGUGAAUGUAAUGGGACAGAGAGAUGCCAUAGCAACAUGUUUCCAUGAACCUGCAGGUUGAUGUGAGGAGGUUAAACGUGUCUCUUCUAAAGCGGUUCAGAGAGGGGGUAGCUGCUGCUCUGGACAUCUCCCCCAGACACCUCCACAUCAACAGACUCAAUGUAAGACACACACACACACACACACACACACACACACACACACACACACACACACACACACACACACACACACACACACACACACACACACACACACACACACACACACACACACAUUCAACACCCUUUACUGACAAUAGACAUUGAUAAGGAUGACUUUAAACUAGUUUCCACUGAAUACAG